GGCCUUUUAGUUCAGUUGGUAGAACGCACUCUUUGUGUAAAAAGUGAGGUCUGAGUUCGAUUCCUUGAAAGGCUG
This is a transfer RNA of Serendipita vermifera MAFF 305830, 75 nucleotides long. It matches the Rfam family "tRNA". From Rfam's summary of the family: Transfer RNA (tRNA) molecules are approximately 80 nucleotides in length. Their secondary structure includes four short double-helical elements and three loops (D, anti-codon, and T loops). Lineage: Eukaryota; Fungi; Basidiomycota; Agaricomycetes; Sebacinales; Serendipitaceae. The record is from Rfam.